Molecule: long non-coding RNA, 289 nt
Organism: Ochotona princeps (American pika)
Lineage: Eukaryota; Metazoa; Chordata; Mammalia; Lagomorpha; Ochotonidae
Exons: 3
Source: RefSeq, a predicted model, not a curated record
UUUUACGAGCUACCAAACUGAACAAACCCAUUCUUUUGGAAGGCUCACCUGGUGUUGGCAAGACAAGCUUGGUGGCAGCAUUAGCAAAGGCUUCAGGACAUACUCUCGUUCAAAUCAACUUAUCGGAGCAGACAGACAUCACAGACCUGUUUGGAGCAGAUCUCCCUGUUGAAGGUGGCAAGGGAGGAGAAUUUGCCUGGCGCGAUGGCUCCCUGCUGGCAGCUCUGACGGAGGGGCACUGGGUUGUGUUGGAUGAGCUUAACCUGGCUUCUCAGUCCAUAUUGGAAGG